This 90-nucleotide transfer RNA is filed under the name Monodelphis domestica (gray short-tailed opossum). It matches the Rfam family "tRNA". From Rfam's summary of the family: Transfer RNA (tRNA) molecules are approximately 80 nucleotides in length. The record is from Rfam by way of RNAcentral. Lineage: Eukaryota; Metazoa; Chordata; Mammalia; Didelphimorphia; Didelphidae.
CCUUUGAUAGCUCAGCUGAUAGAGUGGAGGACUGUAGAUUAUAUAUCUGUGGGAAUGUUUAGGUUGAUGGUUUGAUUCCAGUUCAAAGGA